Manis javanica (Malayan pangolin) is the source of this 1776-nucleotide long non-coding RNA. RefSeq lists it as uncharacterized. Lineage: Eukaryota; Metazoa; Chordata; Mammalia; Pholidota; Manidae. The record is from RefSeq and is a predicted model, not a curated record.
CAUGGAGAAGGUGAGAGACUGAAGUCGAAGAAGAUCUGAUACAGAACGGGAGCUCCUGUCCCGCCGUGGCAGCUGGGUGUCCUGAAGACCGUCUAGGCAAAAAGAAUUUCACAUGCCAGAGACGACCAAGCAACUUUGGCCACAAAGACUGCCUGGAGGAGAGAUUGUCAAACUUCCUUGGAACAGGGACCUUCCUGGAAGAAAUAUUUGAAAUCUAGUUUUGAUACCUCAGAAAGUCUAAUGAACACCACCACUUCUGCCAACAUCAGUCUUAGAGAAUAAGAAAGUUAAAUGGGUUCAUUACACCAAUCCCGAUGUUGCGGACCUCACUGCCUCUCCUCAGAUGGACUUCACUGAUAGUUUUCUUUGAUGCUGGAUGUCAAGAGAAUUCCAGCCAGGUGACCGGGCACUGCAACGGCACGGUGUCAAAGGCUCCGCCUCUCCACCUCGUUCAUGUCUGUGCAAUCCUCCUUCUGUAAUGUCACCUCAUGGUCCAGGAGAGAUGCUCUAGAUCCAGCCAUCACAUCUGCACAUUAAUCCACAGCAAGUAAAAUAAGGAGUGAAGAAAUUCACUUUACAUAUGGAAUGACUUUACGACUUGCAGGAUACUACCGUUGAAAUCCCAUUGGCCAGAAUUUAGUUACAUAUCCACCUUUAACUAAAAUGAAAGCUGAUAAAUAAGUAUCAUCUUCACUUGGGCACCAUCUACCCAGCUGGAAAUCAGAAUUCUAUUGCCAAAUGGAAUGGAAAAUGAAUAGUUAGGAAUAUUAGGUAAUCAUUGUAAUGUAUAUGUUUUGUAUUCACAAUCCAAGAUAUUUUAAUUAAAUAGGAAUCACCAUGACAAAGACUGGCGGUGCCUCUUUUUAGAGGGAGAGGUGAGGGUGCUCAUCAGCCUUUGGAUUUUUCAGGCGCUCUUGAUAAUGCGACCUAAGUUUAAUGAGGUUCGGAAAAUUUUCAUUGUAAGUAAUAGAAAUGCAACCCUCUUCUUGGCCCUAUGAUUCUGUAUCAAUUUACCUGCAGCACUAUGACUGUCUGAAAGUAUUUUUAUCUUUAAUUUGCUUAUUCUUUUCUUCUAUGGCCCCUUCCUCUAAGAUGUAGUCUCCACAAAGGCAAAGAAACUGUCACUCAUAUUCAGUCAUAUACACACCACGGCUGUGAGACGGCCUGAAAAUACAAGCACCUACAAAUUCGUUGAAUGGAUUUCUUUUCAGUUACAUUUAUAAAGCUUUCUUUCCAACUAGACCAUGUGUGUUCUACUUCCAAAAGCUCUGCUCACUUACCAGUUCUCCUCCCCCUUUCCUCACAGAGGACCAGCUCCAUGGAAGGGACUGUGGGCGGAAGAGGAUAAGCAGACCCAUAAACGGGCUGAGUGUGAGGAGGACUUGAUAAACAAGAAAACUUUAGGAAUUUAGUAGUUGAUAUAUCUUUUAGAUCCCUUCAAUAGAGUCCUUCAAAAGUCCUAUAUGGCCAAAACUUCAUGCUAAAAUUUUCUAGAGGGCAUGUAUAAAAUAAACCAAAACAUGUAAACAUACAAUUUUUCUGGUACAUCACAAAUGUAAUAUAAAUGUUAAUGUUCAGUACUAGUGCUAUCAAAUUAUUCCAUAUUAAUUGCCUUUUCUUAACUAUUAGGAACACUUCAGACUGGCACCUAAAGGUUACAUGUCUACCUGAGAAUUUAAAAGACAAAUCAAAAUCAGGGACAAGUCAAGGGACCAUAAAUGCUACAACAGUCACCCUUGUUAGAGACUGCUCAGCUCAGCUAAACAGACAAAUGCU